Long non-coding RNA from Ictalurus punctatus (channel catfish), 915 nucleotides. The record is from Ensembl. Lineage: Eukaryota; Metazoa; Chordata; Actinopteri; Siluriformes; Ictaluridae.
AGAGAAAACAAUAGAGCAUUGAACAGUUUGAUCUUUGUCUCGUCUGACCUCAUUACAUUCUCCCAGUAACCUACAGGCUUCUCCAAAUGUUCUGUAGCAAGCUUGAAACGAGCUUCAACAUGCCUUUUCUACAGUAAUGGAAUCAAGGCGUGAUGGUGAAUGGAGACUGUAGCAGUAUUGCGCACUGCAUAUUGCUUUCUCUGACGACUGUACUCGCUGCUUCCAGUUCUUUCUGGAGAGCUUUUCGAGUGGUCCUCGGCUCUUGGGCUUCUCCUCUGCGUAACUUUGUCAGCCCUGUCAGAAAUCUUGCGAGGAGCUCCUGCGUGUGGCCGGUUGAUAGUCACCUAAUGGUGCUUAAAGGAACAUUUGGGAGUAAUUCUUUGGAGAGCGCUUUGCUUCUACUCAUCAUGAGAUGUUUCUUGCGCGACAGUUUGGUGACAAAUGAUUUGUUUACUUGUAUUCAGAGGUGGGUUCCCCUUUUCCACAGAGUGGACGUACUAACCUACCAUCAUACACUAACCCAGCUGAUUCUAAUUAGCACAGGUAGGAGAACUGUUUUUUCUUGUUCAAUACUUAAUUCCUGUGUCAUUCCACUUUAUUGCACAUAACUUUUUUAUGGAUUGGUAUAUUAUGAUUUCUUUAGCGGUGUAGCUUCAUCGAGUUAACACCCAUGUCGGGUCUACAUUUCAUGUGAAAACAUUUAUAUGGACAGCGGUAAUCUAAUUAUUGACCUUAUUCUGAAUAAGACAAUACUGUGAUUAAGGUGUUUACAUGAGUCGCUUUUAGAAUAUCCCUGUUUUAUAUAUUAUAAAACACAGAUCGACUAAAACAGAAAUACUCCACACGUCUUAAUUUGUUUUGUGUUUACAUGAGUCGCUUUUAGAAUAUCCCUGUUUUAUAUGUUAUAAAACACAG